RNAcentral lists this long non-coding RNA (1467 nucleotides) under Equus asinus (donkey). RNAcentral describes it as "lncRNA (ENSEASG00005036256.1)". The record is from RNAcentral. Lineage: Eukaryota; Metazoa; Chordata; Mammalia; Perissodactyla; Equidae.
CUGACACCCCCAGCUUCUCAUCACCUCCAGGUCUGCGAUAAGUGUUGCAUAAAUUUUGGAAAAUCAUUGAGCCACAAAAUUGUAAAUUCAAGGAAGCUUCUAGUUUUAGUCAUCUGAAAGGCAGGGCUCCAGUUUCCCUGAGUUCCAGCAACGCUUCACUCUGGUGUUGACUUCAUUCUUGUGUGAGCUUUCUUCAGGAGGCAAGAAUAAUGCCAAGCCUGCAUCUUCACAGCCUGCUGUCCCAAGGAAUUAAAACAAUAACAGGAGAAUGGAAUAUCAGGACAGGGAAACAAGGAAAAACAUUAUCAUAGUGGUCCAGGCAAGUAUCAUUUAAGCUUAGUAAAUGAUGGUAAAGUGCGUUAUGCACAAAGGUCCUAGACCAUUCUUGAAGCCAUCCUUCAUCACCCCGGCCUAAAAUGCCCAUUCUUUUCUACCAGCCAUUAGAUGGUUUCUGAGUAUUUACUCUAACUGGGUGACAAGCUUGGCUCUGGGAAUACACCACUAAAAGACAUUUCUUAUGUCUUCAAAGAAUCUGGUGGGGGCUGUGGGUAAGUCAGCAGGGACAAUAUAAAGGGCUGGUUGUCAUCAUGGAGGAGUGCUGGAUGCAGUGGAGGUCCGUGGGAGGAGCACGACUCCAGCUUUGCAGGUAGAGAUGAGGUUGGAGAGGGAAGCAGGAAGCACACAUCGAAGGUCCUUCACAUCUGUCAUAGAGUUUGAAAUUUUUCCUUAGAACAAAGGGGAGCUGAUGAAGAAUUCUAGAACUGGAAGACACAGUCAGGCUCAGAACAUCUGAAAAUCAAGAUAAAACUCUCCUUCAUAAAAUGCCCGGAAAACUGAGUGCAUUUUAAGAAACCAAAAGAUAGCAGCAAAGUCAACAUGAAACUAAAGACAGACACUUGUCUGCAAACUAACAAUAAAAUUGAAAUGGAUCCUGAGAAGAAGGAAUAAGUAAAAAGCAUCAUGUGAAAGCAACUAAAUUCUGCAUCUUCCUUACCCAAAUCAUUCUCCUUUCUCUUUCCACCUGUAUUUUGGAAAGGUAAAAAUAUCUUUCAGAAACCUGGGAACUGGUUAAAUUUCAACACAUAGUUAGAAACUUCACAUUGGAGAUAAAAAGACUAAGAGAGUCAAAUAAAUGCAUUUUAGAAAGUCAGUUAAGAGAAGAUCAUCAAUGUUAAGUACAAACAAAAACAAAGUCUUCUGGAAAAGAAGGUAUAUACUGAUGUGGCAGUCUUGGAACAGAGGACAAGAAGAGUCUUCUAAAGGUUAAGAUUUCAGACAUUGGGAAUGAGGCUCCCUUUAGUCAGACACAAUAUGGGGCAGAGUCGAGGGCAGUGGCACUCAGACCUUAACGUGCCUAAGGAUUGUCUGGAGGGCUUGUGAAAACACAGAUUUCUGGACAACACCCCCAGAGAGUCUGGUUCAGCUGGUCUGGGAUGAGAUCUGGACUCUACACUUCUGAGCCUGCAG